This 769-nucleotide ribosomal RNA is filed under the name uncultured Bacteroidota bacterium. RNAcentral describes it as "bacterial SSU rRNA". It matches the Rfam family "Bacterial small subunit ribosomal RNA", at positions 1 to 773 of the family's 1533-position model. Lineage: Bacteria; Pseudomonadati; Bacteroidota. The record is from RNAcentral.
AGGGGUUUGAUCCUGGCUCAGGAUGAACGCUAGCGGCAGGCCUAAUACAUGCAAGUCGAGGGGCAGCAUAGUAGCAAUACUGAUGGCGACCGGCGCACGGGUGCGUAACGCGUAUGCAACCUACCUUUUACUGUGGGAUAGCCCGGAGAAAUCCGGAUUAACACCGCAUAAUAUAAGAUUAAGGCAUCUUGAUUUUAUUAAAUAUUUAUAGGUAAAAGAUGGGCAUGCGUCCAAUUAGCUAGUUGGUGGUGUAACGGACCACCAAGGCUAUGAUUGGUAGGGGUUCUGAGAGGAAGGUCCCCCACACUGGUACUGAGAUACGGACCAGACUCCUACGGGAGGCAGCAGUAGGGAAUAUUGGGCAAUGGAGGAGACUCUGACCCAGCCAUGCCGCGUGCGGGAAGAAGGCCUUCUGGGUUGUAAACUGCUUUUGAUCGGGAACAAAGAGGCCAUGCGUGGCAAGUUGAGUGUACCGAUAGAAUAAGCACCGGCUAACUCCGUGCCAGCAGCCGCGGUAAUACGGAGGGUGCAAGCGUUGUCCGGAUUUAUUGGGUUUAAAGGGUGCGUAGGCGGCCCUGUAAGUCAGUGGUGAAAUACUGCAGCUUAACUGUAGCAUUGCCAAUGAUACUGUAGGGCUUGAGUACAGAUGAGGUAGGCGGAAUUGAUGGUGUAGCGGUGAAAUGCAUAGAUACCAUCAAGAACACCGAUUGCGAAGGCAGCUUUACUAAGCUGUAACUGACGCUGAGGCACGAAAGCGUGGGGAUCGAAC